AUUGAACGCUGGCGGCAGGCUUAACACAUGCAAGUCGAGCGGGGUGAUGGUGCUUGCACUAUCACUUAGCGGCGGACGGGUGAGUAAUGCUUAGGAAUCUGCCUAUUAGUGGGGGACAACAUCUCGAAAGGGAUGCUAAUACCGCAUACGUCCUACGGGAGAAAGCAGGGGAUCACUUGUGACCUUGCGCUAAUAGAUGAGCCUAAGUCGGAUUAGCUAGUUGGUGGGGUAAAGGCCUACCAAGGCGACGAUCUUUAGCGGGUCUGAGAGGAUGAGCGGCAAGACGGGGACUGAGACAGGGCCCAGACUCCUACGGGAGGCAGCAGUGGGGAAUAUUGGACAAUGGGGGGAACCCUGAUCCAGCCAUGCCGCGUGUGUGAAGAAGGCCUUAUGGUUGUAAAGCACUUUAAGCGAGGAGGAGGCUCUUUUGGUUAAUACCCAAGAUGAGUGGACGUUACUCGCAGAAUAAGCACCGGCUAACUCUGUGCCAGCCGCCGCCGUAA
Molecule: ribosomal RNA, 503 nt
Filed under: uncultured bacterium
Lineage: Bacteria
Description: partial 16S ribosomal RNA
Rfam family: Bacterial small subunit ribosomal RNA
Source: RNAcentral